CCGGCGAGACGACGAGCUUCUUACCAUCACCGCGAUUACCGGCGAUUGCUGCGGUUGCAAGGGGUGCCCUAAAGGCUGGGCAUCCACCGGGCUGCUUUCAGCGGAGUGGUGGUGCGUGGUGCUCACGAAUGAGACGCAGUGUGCCAGUUGUUUCGUGCAACUGUGCCGAUUGAUCUGAGGAGAGACAUUCCUGUCGUGCGCCCACCGGAUUCCUGCCACCGCAACUCGUCUCCUUCGGAACCCCGCCUCGCCGGAAAGAACCGUGUCGUCAUCGUAAGCUGCUUCAACGUGAGCAAGUGGAACAACCAUGGAAAGCGUUGGGAAAGACUCGGCACAAGCAGCUGUUGCGGUAUCUUCAAUUGGCUUCAGCACCAACACCAAGGCCGUACAAGACGCCAUUCGUCCGUGGUCAAGUUCUCAAAGGAUGGCGCCACACACAAGGAACUUUAACGAGAGAACCAGAGAAUUGCUGCAGAGUCCCAGGCAUUCAUGGCGGACGCCUUGGCAGCCGCCGUUGGAAGGGCCUUGGCCCAUAACGUCACCGCCGGAGGGCCUCCGCCCCAGUCCACCCCCAGCCCCAGCCGCCACCCGUCGCCGCCUUCGGGGGACACCGUCUCCAACCUGGAGCUGACGCCCAGCCAACAGUCGCUGGCCUCCCAGCUUGAGUUUCAGCCCUCCGCUUUUGGGAAUUGUCGAGUUUUAGAUACCCCAUGAAUGACAUUAGGUACCUCAUAGUUUAGA
RNAcentral lists this long non-coding RNA (741 nucleotides) under Ixodes scapularis (black-legged tick). Its description in RNAcentral is "uncharacterized LOC120836972, transcript variant X2". The record is from RNAcentral. Lineage: Eukaryota; Metazoa; Arthropoda; Arachnida; Ixodida; Ixodidae.